This 701-nucleotide ribosomal RNA is filed under the name Bacillus sp. (in: firmicutes). Its description in RNAcentral is "bacterial SSU rRNA". It matches the Rfam family "Bacterial small subunit ribosomal RNA", at positions 69 to 755 of the family's 1533-position model. The record is from RNAcentral. Lineage: Bacteria; Bacillati; Bacillota; Bacilli; Caryophanales; Bacillaceae.
UCUUGAGGUGCUUGCACCUCUUGGUUAGCGGCGGACGGGUGAGUAACACGUGGGCAACCUGCCUGUAAGACUGGGAUAACUUCGGGAAACCGGAGCUAAUACCGGAUAAUCCUUUUCCUCUCAUGAGGAAAAGCUGAAAGUCGGUUUACGCUGACACUUACAGAUGGGCCCGCGGCGCAUUAGCUAGUUGGUGAGGUAACGGCUCACCAAGGCGACGAUGCGUAGCCGACCUGAGAGGGUGAUCGGCCACACUGGGACUGAGACACGGCCCAGACUCCUACGGGAGGCAGCAGUAGGGAAUCUUCCGCAAUGGACGAAAGUCUGACGGAGCAACGCCGCGUGAGCGAUGAAGGCCUUCGGGUCGUAAAGCUCUGUUGUUAGGGAAGAACAAGUACCGGAGUAACUGCCGGUACCUUGACGGUACCUAACCAGAAAGCCACGGCUAACUACGUGCCAGCAGCCGCGGUAAUACGUAGGUGGCAAGCGUUGUCCGGAAUUAUUGGGCGUAAAGCGCGCGCAGGCGGUCCUUUAAGUCUGAUGUGAAAGCCCACGGCUCAACCGUGGAGGGUCAUUGGAAACUGGGGGACUUGAGUACAGAAGAGGAAAGCGGAAUUCCACGUGUAGCGGUGAAAUGCGUAGAGAUGUGGAGGAACACCAGUGGCGAAGGCGGCUUUCUGGUCUGUAACUGACGCUGAGGCGCG